UUGGCUUUAUGCUCUGCUAAAUUUUCCUCUCAAUUGUUCCAUUGAAUCCAUCUUCCACUGUUGUUUUUGUUGAAUUUGUUUAUUAUUUGCCUGUUGAUACCGCAUCAAGGGUUUGGGCUAGAUUUAAUUGUCUUCUGAACAUGAUUUAAUUUAUUACCAAUGAAAAAAUAAGUUUUUUUUGCUAAAGAUAGUAUUUUUCUAAUGUUAUUAUUAGGGCAAACCACAAAAAUUUAGGAUCUUUAGACCAUAAUUACAGGGCGCAACAUAGGCUUCAAAAACAUUACACUUUCUGUUUGAAGAAGAAUUGGAAUAGAGAUAUUUUCUGCAACUGAAGAACACGAUACAAGAAAAAGGGGACGUGUAUCUUCAUAUACCUGUGUAUGUUAGGCGAUGUUAGAACGUUUGUCUAAUUCUGUAGUUUUUCCUCAUUAUAAUAUUAUAAUAUAUAUACGGAAGCAAAGAUCUUGCCUUUGGUUGGACUGUGACGUAUAUAUCCUGUUGGACGAUUUACAAUUAGGAAAGGGAGAGUUUUCAUUCAAUUAGGGCCAGGAUUAUCUGCUAAGAUUUUCUCAGUGUUUUACGGGCUGGAUUGUUUGAUUGAAUCCAUAUUUGAUCAUAGAUUUGCUUGAAUUGUUCUUAGAUUUUUGCUGCCUUCACUGGGUACAUUUUUUACACUGGUUUGUUACUUUUGAUUUGAGAGUUCCUACACGUUGAAUUUUAACCAGUAAUUGUAUACUACUCCCUCCUUUUUAGUUUGUUUGGCCUAAUUUCCUGUAGUAAUCUGUUUCAGAAAGAAUGGUACUUUCCUUUUUUUUAGGAACCCUUCGUUUCCAUAAGACCACUAGAUUAAAGAAAAUUUUGUUACAUUUGACGUAUCUUUAAUUUAGGACCAUAAGAUUCAAAAGUUUCUUUAUUUUCUUAAACUCUGAAAUAGGGAAAUAAUAAUUUUUAUAUGGUCCAGAUAUGUAUCGAGGGCCAAUAUUUUUUUUUUUUGUGUGUGUGUGAUAUCUAGUUGUUAAUGGCCGUUAUCUUGAGCUCACUAUUUUUUAGAAGUACCCAUGCACCGUGUUUAGUUACCUCUUGUGCUUUGAGGGUGGAAAGCUCGAACCACUUUAUAGGUGUUGUAGGUUAUUUAUUCUCGAGACUCCUCAUAAUUAAGCAUCAUGACAAGUAAGUCUUCCUAAAUUCAUGUGAUACCUUUGUACUCUUAAUGGUUAUGGUCUUUUUAAUUGUUGCAGAAUCCUGCGUGAAUAUGUGAAGUUGUUGAAUUAUUAAUCUAGGAUGAAAUUAACCCUAUAUCUAACUAGGAUUCAUAAAUUAUGAUGAUUUUAAAGAGUAAGGGGACAAUGAUAUUUUUCCUAAAGUUAUUCUCAAAAAAAUCUUUUCCCUAAAACUCCCCUUUCCUUCAUAACUCGACAGUGUAGUCGUUUUAUCUUCCUGACCCUUCAGCCAAGCUGCCUUGUCUUGUAUGUUCACUGCAUUGAUGUUUGAUAGCUGUUCCUACUCCCCAAGCCUCCUUCCUUUCAAACUCAGGAAGUAUAGCUGGUUUCCCUCUAUUUUGAGUUCCCAUCUUGGGUAUUUGAAUAUCUAAAUCUUUUAGGCUCACUUGCCUCUUAGUUUGAGUGGUAACUCUUUUUUGAAAAAAAUAAUUUAAAAUAAACUAAAUACCAACUGUUUGGCUUUGAGUUUUCCUACAAAGCCUUAGAGAACAACAAUGCUGGAUCUUUGCCCAGUGUAUUAGGUUUGAGCCCAACUUUUGGACAAUGAGUACCCUUUGUGGGGGCUCCUGGCAUAAUGAAGCUAGUGACCUGGAUUCUUGGCAAAGGUGGGCAACAGGGCCAGCCAAGCAUGCAUUUAGUUAAAAGAUCAAAAAGAAGGUCGAUAUUGCACAUUGCUCAUUAGUUCUUGGUCAUUUAUAGAAUUCUUGCCUGCACUCAUUUUGUCAUUAUGAUGGCAGUACUGAAUCGUGUUGCUCUACAGCUGAAGACUGUAUCAAAGCCGAUAGCUUCUGGGUUGAACCCCAAAUUCCAACGAUUCAUCUCAGAAACGGCUCUGGUAAGUGAAACUUUAUGCUUGUUAAGCUGGUUUUGCUACUCAUACAUUUAUAGUUGAAUGUCAUGACAAUAAGCCUAGCCAUGAUCAGGUGCUAUUCCCAUGUUCUUAUGCCCUUGUUUAUUUUGUAGGUCUUGGAUAUUAGGGUUUAUAGCUUUUCUUUCGUAGAGAAAGAUUGAAACUUUAUACUUGUUAAGCUGUUUUGCUACUCAUACAUUUAUAGUCGAAUGUCAUGAAUUCCAAAUGUAGUUGGUUAAUGCAGUUUUGAGUUCAAAUCCUUAAUGCUUUGAAUGUUAUACUAGCCAUGAUCAGCCGAUCAGGUGCUCUUUCCAUAUUCUUAUGCCCUUAUGUAGUUUGUUGGUGUUAGAUAUCAAGGUCUAUAGCUUUUUUGUGGAGAACGAUUGAAACUUUAUACUUGUUAAGCUGGGUUUUGCUACUGAUACAUUUAUAGUUGAAUGUCAUGAAUUCUAAAUGCAGUUGGUUAAUGUAGUUUUGAGUUCAAAUCCUUAAUGUUUGAAUGUUAUACUAUUUUUACCUUAGGCGAGUAGCAGUUGAGAAUAACUAAGUCCAGUAUAUAUCUACUCUGGUGUCUUCCCCUCUAUUUUUGGCUAGGUUUCUUUGACCAAAAUUUAUCUUUAAGUAGAACUUAUGUGGGUUAAGGUUCUUGGUUAGAUUAUCAAGCACACUUUUUCUUGUUGCCACAACCAAAGGGAAAAUGAGAUUAGCAGGGGAAAUGAAUCUGAAAGUCUUAGUUUUUUGAUGAUCUGCCAAGUUUACUCUUAGUUUUUUCAUGACUCUCUUUCUCCAAUGACCAAUACAAUUUGAAUGCUAGGAGCGGUAAGAUUAGGAAUGAGGAUAUCCCGAGGAUUCGGGGAAGGUCGGAGUGGCCUCCGUGAAGAAGUAUUGGGGAGAGGUAAUUAGACAGGACAUGACCUAACUUCAGCUUACCAAGGACAUGAACUUAGAUAGGAGGAUAUGGAGGUUCCGGAUUAGGGUAGAAGGUUAGGGGUGGUUGAGCAUUGUCUUGCCUUUCGACGAGAUGAGGCUGGGUGGUAGUUUCUUCAUGGGAGGCCUGUUUGAACAUGCAUGCCUUAAUUGCUUGUUGAACUAGGAAUACAAUUCUUGCAUGCAUUUGUGAUCAGGAGAUGAGUAAUAGCAAAAUGACUUUUUCUUCAAUUUAGUAUCGUGGGAGUUGGGACCCACAAAUGAGUUGUCUGUUGUUGGAUUCUUCUUAUCUGGUUUUGAAAAGCAUGCUAAUGCUACCAGAGGUUUUACUCUUGUAGUUUUGUCGGCUUUCGAGUUAUGCAACGGAAUAUAAUCUUUUCAUUAAAUGUGGUGUUUUGGCUCUUUCGUAAUCGUUAAGAGUUACUGAUUUUCUUACUUUAUUUGUGUUAUUAUAACUAACAUUUUGUCGUAUUGGCCUAAGAUCCUUCCCGUGUUUUGUCGGGUUAUUGUUUCUGAAUAAAUGAUCAUUACGCAUAAGUGGACCUUUUUAUUUUUUAUUUUUUAUUUUUUUCGCCGUUGUCGUAUAUCCAUAUUUCUCGAAACAUACCAUAUGUGGCAUACUAGAGCUGCAUUAAGGAAUUUAAAAUGCAUUUUAACUAUCUUUUUCCUGAUCAAAACAAGGAAUUGAAAGCACAUAUCACAUGUUGCUUGAGCCUUAUUACUACAAAUGGUGAGUGUUAAUAAAUAAAUGAGGAUGGGGUUCUGAAGAUGGUUGGCGCAAAAAUCAUCUUGCCAUGUCCUUGUAAUUUGGUGAGGUGGGGGGGUUGCAGGAGAGGUCAAAUAAAGGUAGUCAAAGUUUGACCGUCCUUAAAGAAGUUUUGGGACACUGGGAGGGUGGAAAAGAAGCGCGAAAGAGACAUGGUAUUAAUGACAGGAAGUGUGAGAUUUGAGAUCUAUGGCUAAUGAUAUGAGAUCUUCAUGGAAUUUAAGCUGUUAACGUGCUUUUAUGAAAAGAUUUAACCAAAAACGUGCAAAUAUUUUACCAAUUCCACUCACCCCUUGCACAAAAAGUAAGUUUGCUAUCUUGGGACUAGAAUUGAUGAAGGGUUAGUGCUUUAUUUCAUUGAGUAACAUGUUAGUAUGUGACUAUGUAAUCAAAUGCUUUACGACCUUGGGAACGUGUUUUUUGGUGCCUGUAGUUUGUGAAUUUUCCACCCUGACAAAUUUUUUCCUUCCCACCACUCAAUUCAAAUUACAAAGCGACUUUUGUGCAUAGAACAAAAAGACAAAUGGAAAGAGGUAUUUGUGGACAAAGUAAUAUUAAUUGUCUAAGGUUUCUUUAAAACAGAUGCCAAACUUUAGCAAGCAUUUGCAGAAUUGGAAAUUGAGUAUUUGAUGGUGCUGUUGGGAAAGCGUUAGGGUCUGAUUCCUGAUGGAUGCUCCUGAAGGACUAGUAGUGGCUUUUACAGUGUGAAAUAUUUUAUGUGACUUUGGUAGAUAGCAGCAAGAGUUACUUAGGCUCAAGGAAGAUUCAAUUAAAAUCAGGGGGCAUUUUGGGCAAUCCUAGCUUGUGAUAACAUUGGAGGAUAUUAAUGCUGUACUAGAUUAAAUCGAUGCAAUGAUCAGUUGAGGGGUUAACAAUAUUUGUGAUUCUCUUUCUUCAAUUUUAAUUGUGUAAUCUGGUUUCAAAUAGUAGGAAAGGGUGCGCUGUUUUUAUUGGUGCCUUCAGUGUCUUGUAGUCUCUUGGUGAUGUCUCUGAUUUCGGAUAGCAAGCUUAUAAUACUACUUUGUGGGUGUCUUGUUUUCUUUAUUAUUUAGUGGUGUGUCACCCCUUGUUUGUUGUGUGCCUUUAUGUUUUUUGUUAUAUUUGUUAUCUGUCCGGAGUCGGGAAUCUAUCGGAAACAGCCUCUCUACUUCAUCUGGGGUAGUGGUAGACUGUGUACACUCUACCCUCCUCAGACCCCACUCUCUGGGGAUAUACUGGGUAUGUUGUUGUUGUUGUUAGGUAGUAUACGGUACUCUUGGUAGUUUUUAAAGCUGUUGUUCUCUAGCUGUGACUAUAAUAUUUUUAAUACAUCUUUGGAUCAGCAAUUCUACUCUUGAAUUAGAUAAGCAGUUCUACUCUCAAAUUAGAUAAGCAAACUAUUAACACUUUAUUCCUUUUCUUUUUUGGCGGUGAAAUUCAGAGACACCGAGGUGAAAUUAAUAUGGCCAAAGCUGGUUAUCUUGUCAAGGCAGUCAGUUCAUUGCUGCCCAAGUGCUUCUAUACGAUGGUAGGUUUUUUUUUUUUUUAUCAAUGAUUAUAGGAAGUCGUGGAAGCGUGAUGUCGAGUUGGAAGCUUUGAGAGAGGUACAUCAAAGAGAGGUUUGCUCGAGAUUGGCGUCGUUUCCCUUAUGCUAUUUUCCCAUGGGUUGUUUAUCCAAGCACAACAGCUAGCCUCCGUCCGGACCUGUGUUCCCUCUAUAUAAAAAGCACCCGGCUUAUCAGAGAGCACUACACUUGGGGCUCGUUUGGCACGAAGAUAAUUUAUGCAGGGAUUAUAGUACUAAAAUUAUUUUUUAUCAGUGUUUGGUUUAUUGUAUUAAAAAUUAGAUAUACCGUGUAUUAUGUUUGAUUUAAAAUACUACAAAAAUUUUCUUUACAAUUAUAUCCUUGUAUUUUAGUGAGAUUUUUUAUUUCAUUAAAUUAGUCGAGCUAAAAAUUUAAAUACAAAUAAAAAUUUAUUACUAGUUUUCAGAGUGUGAUAUAUGCCACUGUGGAAAUCCUUGAUAGCAAGGUGUACCAUUCAUAUUCUGUAUCUUUGUGUAUUUCCUUUCCAAAGCUCUCUUAUUUGUUUUUUAAAAUAAUUUUUUUAUAUACUCACUCAAAAUUUUUUAUAUUCUAUUAGUUGUUAGAAAUGUUAUUAUAUAUGUAUAAUCUUCCACCAGGGGGCUUUAAUAUUUUGGAAGUUGACAUACCUUACUUUGUAGACAGUGAGUCAAUUUCUAUAUGUAAGUUUAUUUUUUUUUUCUUUUUUAACAAUUUACCAAGUAUUAUUUACUGACAUUUUAGUGUACUGUCUUGCUUCGUCUUUUUUUUUUUUUUUUUUAAUCAAUUGAGUACUACUUUAUGUUAAUUCAGCUAUUAUUAGGUGCUUCUCAACUUCUUAAAAGGCUUAAUACAUAGUAAGCUUCUUAGUGUAGACGAGUACACUCAAUGUAUACAUCCAGUGAUUUUGUUUGGAUUUUUUCAAAAAUAAGUGAACCUAUGUCGAAUCUUUUAAAAUUGCACUAUUUUUAAGCAUUUGACAUGUAUCCGCAGACGUUUUUACAGAGUCCUUACUACAUAGGUUUUGAAAUAUGAGAGUAACCACUCA
This 6352-nucleotide long non-coding RNA is filed under the name Capsicum annuum. RNAcentral's name for it is "long non-coding RNA (CANN_LNC012179)". Lineage: Eukaryota; Viridiplantae; Streptophyta; Magnoliopsida; Solanales; Solanaceae. The record is from RNAcentral.